CUGACAGGCAUGAGCUAGUCAAUAAUCUGG
Molecule: non-coding RNA, 30 nt
Filed under: Homo sapiens (human)
Lineage: Eukaryota; Metazoa; Chordata; Mammalia; Primates; Hominidae
Source: RNAcentral